GUGCCAGCCGCCGCGGUAAGACGUAGGGGGCGAGCGUUGUCCGGAAUUACUGGGCGUAAAGAGCACGUAGGCGGGACCUUAAGUCAGGUGUGAAAGACCGGGGCCUAACCCCGGGGUGGCACUUGAAACUGGGGUUCUUGAGGGCAGGAGAGGACAGUAGAAUUCCUGGUGUAGCGGUGAAAUGCGUAGAAAUCAGGAGGAAUACCAGUGGCGAAGGCGACUGUCUGGACUGACCCUGACGCUGAGGUGCGAAAGCGUGGGUAGCAAACAGGAUUAGAUACCCUGGUAGUCCACGCUGUAAACGAUGGAUACUAGGUGUGGGAGGUAUCGACCCCUUCCGUGCCGGAGCUAACGCAAUAAGUAUCCCGCCUGGGGAGUACGGUCGCAAGGCUGAAACUCAAAGAAAUUGACGG
This 413-nucleotide ribosomal RNA is filed under the name uncultured bacterium. RNAcentral's name for it is "bacterial SSU rRNA". It matches the Rfam family "Bacterial small subunit ribosomal RNA", at positions 505 to 916 of the family's 1533-position model. The record is from RNAcentral.